RNAcentral lists this ribosomal RNA (253 nucleotides) under uncultured bacterium. Its description in RNAcentral is "partial 16S ribosomal RNA". It matches the Rfam family "Bacterial small subunit ribosomal RNA", at positions 524 to 776 of the family's 1533-position model. The record is from RNAcentral.
UACAGAGGUCCCAAGCGUUACUGAGAAUCACUGGGCUUAAAGGGCGCGUAGGUGGUCCGUUAAGUCAGUUGUGAAAUCCCCGGGCUCAACCCGGGAACUGCUUCUGAUACUGGCGGACUUGAGGCCAGUAGGGGUCACUAGAACUGACGGUGGAGCGGUGAAAUGCGUAGAUAUCGUCAGGAAUGCCGGUGGUGAAGACGGGUGACUGGGCUGGUUCUGACACUGAGGCACGAAAGCGUGGGGAGCGAACGGG